RNAcentral lists this ribosomal RNA (279 nucleotides) under uncultured bacterium. RNAcentral describes it as "partial 16S ribosomal RNA". It matches the Rfam family "Bacterial small subunit ribosomal RNA", at positions 506 to 784 of the family's 1533-position model. The record is from RNAcentral.
UGCCAGCAGCCGCGGUAAUACGGAGGGUCCAAGCGUUAUCCGGAUUCAUUGGGUUUAAAGGGUGCGCAGGCGGAAAAAUAAGUCAGUGGUGAAAGCCUACAGCUCAACUGUAGAAUUGCCAUUGAUACUGUUUUUCUUGAGUCUGGUUGAAGUAGGCGGAAUACGGCAUGUAGCGGUGAAAUGCAUAGAUAUGCCGUAGAACACCGAUCGCGAAGGCAGCUUACUAAACCAGUACUGACGCUCAGGCACGAAAGCGUGGGGAGCGAACAGGAUUAGAUA